RNAcentral lists this ribosomal RNA (520 nucleotides) under uncultured Glomus. RNAcentral describes it as "SSU rRNA". It matches the Rfam family "Eukaryotic small subunit ribosomal RNA", at positions 569 to 1086 of the family's 1831-position model. The record is from RNAcentral. Lineage: Eukaryota; Fungi; Glomeromycota; Glomeromycetes; Glomerales; Glomeraceae.
AGCAGCCGCGGUAAUUCCAGCUCCAAUAGCGUAUAUUAAAGUUGUUGCAGUUAAAAAGCUCGUAGUUGAAUUUCGGGAUCAAUAUUUCGGUCAUGCCGUUGGUAUGCACUGUUAUCAUUGAUUUCUCACCUUCUAAAGAACCGUAAUGCCAUUAAUUUGGUGUUACGGGGAAUUAGGACUGUUACCUUGAAAAAAUUAGAGUGUUUAAAGCAGGCUCACGCUUGAAUACAUUAGCAUGGAAUAAUGAAAUAGGACAUCCGAUUCUAUUUUGUUGGUUUCUAGGAUCGAUGUAAUGAUUAAUAGGGAUAGUUGGGGGCAUUAGUAUUCAAUUGUCAGAGGUGAAAUUCUUGGAUUUAUUGAAGACUAACUACUGCGAAAGCAUUUGCCAAGGAUGUUUUCAUUAAUCAAGGACGAAAGUUAGGGGAUCGAAGACGAUCAGAUACCGUCGUAGUCUUAACCAUAAACUAUAGCCGACUACGGGAGUCGGAGUGUAUGUUAAUUUUUAAUUAGUACUCAUUAC